AGGAACGCGGGGAGCGCGUGGAGGCCUCCGCGCCUUCCUCCUCCUCCUUGAUCUUCAGGGCGGGCGGCUGGAAGUCGCCAUAGAGAGGGGCCUCAAGGUCUAGCUAUGCUAAUGACACACAGUUUAUCUCAAUCAUGUAUAGAGGAUUCACAAGAAGACUCCAGGAGGGGUGGAGCCAUUAGAGGAUUCCAUCCAGGACACCACAUUUAAUUGUUAUGAUGUCUUGGGCUCCUCUUGGCUGUGAGAGUUUCUCAGAUUUUCCUUGUAUCUGAUGACCUUCACAGUCCUUAAGAGUACAGGUAAAUACCUAGCAGUGAAAUGGCUGGAUAAAUUAGUAAGUGCUAUAGUCUGAAUAUUUGUAUUAUCCUCAAAUAUUUCUGUGAAAACCUAAUCACCAAUGUGACAGUCUUAGUAAGUGGGGCUGUUGGGGAGUGAUUAUGUCAUGGAGCGCUGCCUUGCCCCUUCUACCAUGUGAGUACACAGUAAGAAGUUGCCAUUUAGGAACUGCAAAGCAGGUCGUCACCAGAUGUCGAACCUAUCACCUUUAUUAUGGACUCUCCAGCCUCCUGAACUGUGAGAAAUAAAUUUCUGCUGUUUAUAAGCUACCUAGUUUAUGGUAUUUU
Sapajus apella (tufted capuchin) is the source of this 623-nucleotide long non-coding RNA. RefSeq lists it as uncharacterized. The record is from RefSeq and is a predicted model, not a curated record. NCBI's taxonomy places the organism in Eukaryota, Metazoa, Chordata, Mammalia, Primates, Cebidae. The transcript is spliced from 4 exons.